Molecule: ribosomal RNA, 375 nt
Filed under: uncultured bacterium
Lineage: Bacteria
Description: bacterial SSU rRNA
Rfam family: Bacterial small subunit ribosomal RNA
Source: RNAcentral
AUACGUAGGUGGCGAGCGUUGUCCGGAAUUACUGGGCGUAAAGGGUGCGUAGGCGGAUAAUCAAGUCAGAUGUGAAAGUCCAUGGCUUAACUGUGGGAGUGCAUUUGAGACUGAAGAUCUAGAGUGCAGGAGAGGGAAGCGGAAUUCCUAGUGUAGCGGUGAAAUGCGUAGAUAUUAGGAAGAACACCAGUGGCGAAGGCGGCUUUCUGGACUGUAACUGACGCUGAAGCACGAAAGCGUGGGGAGCAAACUGGAUUAGAUACCCUGGUAGUCCACGCCGUAAACGAUGAGUAUUAGGUAUAGGGGACGAUAGUCCUCUGUGCCGGAGCAAACGCAAUAAAUACUCCGCCUGGGGAGUACGGUCACAAGACUAAA